RNAcentral lists this small RNA (301 nucleotides) under Vigna angularis var. angularis. RNAcentral's name for it is "Non-protein coding transcript". Lineage: Eukaryota; Viridiplantae; Streptophyta; Magnoliopsida; Fabales; Fabaceae. The record is from RNAcentral.
UGCACGAUGUGAGUAGUACAGACCCGUGGUGCAAGUGAGGGAGUAGAUGUAAAAGGAAAGGGUUGGUUUGGUCUAAUGAUUUGAGAUGAAGAGGAGUGAAAGAUAUUAUGGACCACCAUUGCAAUUAUAUUCCACCUUCAAAGAGAAAUGCAAGGAAAUAUUCUGUUUCAUUCAAGUUAAAAAAAGUAUUUAAUUUGUAAUUUCAAACCACUAUUUUUUAAAAGUAAACUGUUGACGGUUAUCUAAGAACUUUUUUCUAAUUAAAUUUAUUAUGUUAGAUAUCGUUGUCCAAUGAUUUUUA